GAUGAACGCUGGCGGCGUGCCUAAUACAUGCAAGUCGAGCGAACAGACGAGGAGCUUGCUCCUUUGACGUUAGCGGCGGACGGGUGAGUAACACGUGGGUAACCUACCUAUAAGACUGGGAUAACUUCGGGAAACCGGAGCUAAUACCGGAUAAUAUUUCGAACCGCAUGGUUCGAUAGUGAAAGAUGGCUUUGCUAUCACUUAUAGAUGGACCUGCGCCGUAUUAGCUAGUUGGUAAGGUAACGGCUUACCAAGGCAACGAUACGUAGCCGACCUGAGAGGGUGAUCGGCCACAUUGGAACUGAGACACGGUCCAGACUCCUACGGGAGGCAGCAGUAGGGAAUCUUCCGCAAUGGGCGAAAGCCUGACGGAGCAACGCCGCGUGAGUGAUGAAGGUCUUCGGAUCGUAAAACUCUGUUAUUAGGGAAGAACAAACGUGUAAGUAACUGUGCACGUCUUGACGGUACCUAAUCAGAAAGCCACGGCUAACUACGUG
Molecule: ribosomal RNA, 497 nt
Filed under: uncultured bacterium
Lineage: Bacteria
Description: partial 16S ribosomal RNA
Rfam family: Bacterial small subunit ribosomal RNA
Source: RNAcentral